GGGAUGUCAUGUCUCCUGAAAUAACUCGCCCUGAGUUAUCAGAGUGAGACUGCUGAAGAACAUUGGUGGAUCAGAAAGGACAUUCCAAUCAAGAGAGAAGGAACUGAACCAAGAAAAGGCUGAAGCUGGUGACUAUGUCCCUUCCAGUGAUGGGAUCCAGGGCUGCAGCAGCCUGGGCAUCAGAGAGUUUUAAGUAGUAUUCAAAAGCAAAUAGGCUGCACCUUCCCUCCCCCACCCCUUCUACUCUACAGAAGAGUUACUUCAAAACACAAUCUCCUCAAUACCAGAAAGUUCCUCCAGAGGGCUAUAGGUGCAGAUCAAUCAUCACCUCCUCCUGAGAGUCUUCUCUGAUCACAACUGUCCCUUCUCUAGUUCCCCCAUUAGAUGCCCCUGUCUAUGAUCCAGUGAGACCUUUUAUAUUGCACUGUAAAUACUGCCCUACUCCUAUGUCUUCCUGUAAACCAUGUGUUCCUUGAGGGCAGAAGUUAUAGGGAAGGAAAAAUAAUUCUCCCUCUACCUCUCUGAGUUUUUGUCUGAAACUCUUCCAACAAAAAAACAGGUUAAUGGGGCACCAGGGUGGCUCAGUCAGUUGAGUGUCCAAUUCUUGAUUUUGGCUCAGGUCAUGAUCUCAAAGUCUGUGGGAUUAAGUCCCACAACAGGUCCCAUGCUGACAGUGUAGAGCCUUCUUGGGAUUCUCUCUCUCUCCCUCUCUCUCUGCUCCUCUCCCAACUAUUUCUCUUUCUCUCUCUUUCAAAAUAAAUAAAUAAACUUAAGAGAAGAUUAAUAACAGAAAACAAAUAGACAUUGAUUAAAAUGUAUAUCCCAUAUUUACAUGACAGAUACACAUAGGGAAAAAUGAGUAACUCAAAGGGGAGGCUUAGAGUUCAAGCUUAAAAAAAAAAUCUUAAUAAGAAAAGGGGAGGGGCACCUGGGUGGCUCAGUUGGUUAAACAUCUGACUUCAGUUCAGGUCAUGAUCUCAUGAUUCAUGUGUUCAAACCCUGCAUCAGGCUCUCUGUUGUCAGCACAGAGCCCGCUUCGGAUCCUGUCUCCCUCUCUCUCCCUCUCUCUCUCUCUCUCAAAAAUAAAUAAACAUUUUAAAAAAUAAGAAACGGGGAGAGGGUAUAUAUAGGCAACUUAGAGGAGAGUGAAUGGUUUUUAGGAAAGAUGAAUGGGCCCUCAGAAAAGUAGAUAGGAGGUGUGAUUGUUUGUGACAAAGUUUGUCUGGCUGUGGUGUUCAUUUCCAGUCUCCUCUCCUGUGAUAAGAGACAAUCUUCCCUGGUUGAUAAAACUCUUAAGAGGGUAUGUAUGACAACUGAGUUCUUUUUUGGAGGAUCUGUCUUGGAGCAGAUAAGGGAUGUUCAUAGAAAGUCCCUUCCUGCAUUUGCCACUUUUCAAGUACCUACAGCUUAACAUACAUAAUCGAUAUGCCAAAGUAACAUAUUUUGGAGUGGCAUAUUUUGGGGUAACAUAACCUUCAAGGUUAUGUUAUGUCUUUAACAGGGGCCUAGCACAAUUCCUGGCACAUAGUAAGUGCUCAGUAAAUGUCUAAUGGAUAAGUGAAUGAAUGAAAUUACAAAGGGAGAUAAAUUACAGUCAUGCCCUUAAACUGCUAAAAACCUAGAAAGGUGGACAAGACUAGAAACCAAAGAUUUAGGACAAAGCAGAAUAUUAAAAGGUGCAAUUAAAACUCUAUAUGAAUUUAAAAGAAGACGGGCACCUGGGUGGCUCAGUCAGUUAAGCAUCCGACUGACUCAGGUCAUGACCUCACAGUUAGUGAGUUCGAGCCCCACGUCAGGCUCUGUGCUGACAGCUCAGAGCCUGGAGCCUGCUUUGGAUUCUGUUUCUCCCUCUCUCGCUGCCCCUCCCUCAUUCAUGCUCUAUCUCUCAAAGAUAAAUAAACAUUAAAAAAAUUUUUUUAAAGAAGAAACCAUUCCAGGAGGAAAGGAAAAACAUGAGGCUUUAAACAGGAUCUUAAACAAGGAAUGACAUCCAAGAAGAGACAGGACCUCUGCAGUCUUUACUGGGCUCCCAAGGCCCCCAACCAUAUCUCCUACAAGCCCCUCACUCCCUUCACACCAGCCAUACUGACCUCUCACUUUUCUCUCAAGCUCACCAGCAAUUCUCUACCUCAGGGCAUUUGCGCCUAUAAUUCCUUCUGUUUGGAGUGUUCUUCCUGCAGAUACUUGACUGGUGAACUUCCUCACUUCCUUCACAUCUUUGCUUCAGUGUUACUUCUCUAACCACUCUGCUCUAAACUGAAACCCACCAUACCCCAUCCCUGCUACCAAUGCUUUUAUCCUUCCCUGCUUCGAUUUGUCUUUUUUUUUUUUUUUUUAAUGAUAGGUCUUAUUAAGCAUACGCUAAAGCAACUUUUUAAACUGACUAAUUGUAAACUCAGGCCCAAGUUUUAUUUCAACUCACCACAGGGAAAAGACUCCUGAGAAAGCCAAUUCCCAGAUUUUUUUCUUGUUAGACACGUUUCUAGCAUGGGGAGAGUGGUUAGAUAAUAUUGUUAGACUAGGUACAACAAAAGAUGUCUGGUUAAAAGUUAUUAGGACUGGCACAAGACAGAUGAUUAGCUGAGCUGAAAAAUCUAACUUCCCAAAAGGGAACCUUAAUCUCAUUCAAGUGUAGUGGCAUAAAUAGCAUAUUUAACACUCAGAGCAGGCCAUUUUUUCUCUCUCCUCCUUACAGUAGAAUUCGUUUUAGGAAUAAUCAUGAAAUUAGCAAUAAUAAUGGCCAGAGGAGAAUCAGAAACUGUGGACAUUUUCUAUCAUUGAUCCUUCUACACAUAUGCAUGCCAAUAAUAAAAUUUAACAAUGAACAAAGAAAAAAAAUAAAUAUCACAGUACAAAAAGGGAAUAAAAGCAAUGGGUUGAUAAUUUUCAUCUCAUUUAUUCUCUUUUUUUGGAAAAAAAGAGAAAUAGUAUGCCUACAAAAUAUUUGCCUCAGAAAUGAAUACAUUUCGGUUUAAUAACAAAUAAUAAUUUUCUAAGAAUGAGACUGGUGUUGGAAAUCACCCCGAAUGCAGUGAUGGCCAAUCUGCAGGUGAGAAGCAUGGCCAUCAACCCUCCCCUUCUGCAUGUCUGCCGGGGGACUGACCUGGGCUUUCCGUCAGACAGUGACGAAGACCAAAGCACAGGACUCUUCCCUCAACACUUUGGGUCACCACACAAUAAAGAUGAAAGACAGGGGGGAAAAAUAAGAAUUUUCUAAAAACAAAUUUCUAUUUUAAAGAUAUUAUUCAAAUGCAGUAGAAUAUCUCAUGUAUGAACUGAAAUUUUCACUUACCAAGCAAAAAUAUGCCACUUCACUAUUCACACUCUGUUUCAUUGUUCUAAAUUGCAAACACAGAUAAAAUCUUCAAGUGGUCAUAAGGAAUGACAGAAUUGAUACAACCUGAGUUGUUCUAUUUCUUUGCCUCAACAAUCACUCAGCUAUUGUUGUUUACAUCAAAUCUACUAUUUACAUGCAAACACGGAUACUAAGCUGGGGAUAGAGGACAUGUACUGAAGCAAACCCUAAUAAUACUGCAUUUACUUUGCCAGGGGCAGGGGAGAACACUUUAUUAGUAGGAAUUAUCUACAUGGAUUUUCCUGUACAACGCAAUAUUUAUUAAAUAGGCAAUGCACAUGUGCUACUUGGUGUUUACAUGUAUAUUAAAAUUGAACAGUAACCAUAACAAUUGUUUAGAAAUUAGAUCAACAAAAGGUUUUCUCAAAGAAGAAUACUCUAUUACUGGCAUUGUUUAAAAGUACCAGUCUAUCUAUGGUGACAAUUACAAGAAGACCAACUUUGUGUCAGUUUCAUCACUAUUUUGUUACUCUCAAGCCCUUUUUGCUGGCACUGGGGUGGAUAUUCCCAUUGUCUUCCCCUUGCUAGGCCUCAGCUCUCAUCUAACAAAGUAUUCUGGAAGCAUUUUAUCAGAAAUCCAAAAAGUUGGGUUUCGGAUAAUUCUCUUUCUCAUGUAAUAGGUAAUUUACUUAAUUAUUUUGUUUAUUGCUUAUCUCCUCCAUAAGGGCAGGGAUACAUGUCUGUUUUACUCAUUGUUAUAUUCCAAACAUCUAGAACAGCAUCUGGCGCAUGGGAAGUACCCGACAUUUAUUUGAUUAAAUUGAAAAAUCUUCACUAAUUCUCAGCUAUCAUUAAUUUAUGGAUAGAUUCUCAUCUGUGUUGAAUGAACUGUCUUUCUCUCCAAAGAGCAAUGUCCACGACCCAACAAGCUGCUCCCCCAGUUUUUGCAGUAUCACAAUUAAGAAUUCUUGUUCGCAAUCACAUAAGCCCCGUGUCCCUUCCCAGAACUGUGGAGCUGUGCCUGCUAAUUCUCCAAGUUCAUUCUGAGGACACUAAUUCUGGGAGGUAGUAAUGCUGGUCUGCAGGAGGAGACAGGAGAAAAAGACCCUGGGAUCAAAUCAGUUUAGGAAGUUUUUUAUUAAACAAAAUUAAGGAAACAUCAUUUUGUUUUUGUUUUUUUCCACUGCAACACAUUUCAGGGCUUAUGCUAUAUUGUCAUUGUGACUCUCCAGUAUUAUAAGCAGGAUUUCCAAAACUUAUGCGAUCAUAAUUGUGAAAAUUUCUGAAAAAUUCUGUACUUUAGUAAAGUGAUCUCCUGACCUCCUAGCACUGUGGACUCUUACUCCAAACAUGAAUAUGAUCAAAGUGGCUGCCCCACGGGACAGCUGUGAGAAGAAACGAAUCCACAGGCAGUACAUUGAACCAUUGAACACUGACUGAUGCAUGAUCAACAUGCAGUGAAUGUUAGCUAUUGGUCAUAUAAUUUUGUGUGCAGUUACCUUAAUCUGAGGAACUCAGUAUUUUUCUUACUCCAUUUUAUAAAUGGACAAACCAAGGCAGAGAGAGAAAAAAAUUGGCUUGGAAAAAAACAAAAACAAAACCACCAAAAAACCAUUGCCAGUAAGAUGACUUUAAGCAAUAGUAAGGCAAUGAAAAUCACAAACAAUGACAAUAUAGUUUGUCCUCAAAUUUAACAUAGUACUUUACAGUCAUGUUUAUCGUCCUAAUAUUCCCGUCAAACCCAGGGAAAUAUGACAGAAUGCCAGGGUAAACAGGGUCAUCUUCUUUGGAGUAUCCAUUUUGCGUCAGGAUUUGGGGAUAAAGAAGUGAACUACUUUAACUAAUAAUUUUAAAUAUAUGUACCUUUUAUUUUUUUAUUUUUUUAAUGUUUAUUUAUUUUUGAGAGAGACACAGAGCAUCAGUGGGGGAGGAGCAGAGAGAGAGGGAGACACAGAAUGCAAAGCAGGCUCCAGGCUCUGAGCUAUCAGCACAGAGCCCUACUCAGGGCUCGAACCCACGAACGGUGAGAUCAUGACCUGAGCCGAAGUUGGACGCUUAACCGACUGAGCCACCUAGGCGCCCCAAAUAUAUGUACCUUUUAAAUGGAACUAUUUCCGAAUUGAAUGCAAUUUAAUUUAAAGAAAAGAAAUUUUUAAAAAACAUGAACAUUCAAAGAAAUAUUUCCUGCCUGCAGGAGGCAGCAUUGAGCAAAACCUCAGCGCCCUUGAGCCCUCUUUCUCCUUCCUCUGACAGGAGGGGUACUUUGACAGCCGCCCUCAGAUGCACUGCCCAGUACUGAGCCCUAUGUGUAAACGAAGCAAAGACAAAAGAACAUAUGCUAUCAAAUGUGAUUCACAAUUCAAAUACGUUUUGGUGUCUUAUUCUUUUCACACUCUGAGAAACCAUCUGAUAAUGUGCUUGUUUUGUAAAAGAGUAAAACUCUUCAGAUAAUAUAAAGAUUUUAUAGCUGCUGCACAGAUUUAAUAAGCAAAAGACUUGCUAGCAUGAACCAAGUUCAAGCCAAACCACUGUACAAUUUAAUUCAACACAAUAUUCCUCUGUUUAAAGUGCAUGUAAUUGCCAAUUUAUAUAGUCACCAAGACCAAAGGUUUGCUAAAUAGAGUUCUGCAAACAAACACAGUAUGGAAAGCUUUAUCCCCAAGUACCUUACACCAAGAAUGAAUGAAGCUAAUCAUUAAUCAAUCAUGCAUCUAAUUCAUUCCCAGGACUUCUUUGAACUGUACAAUUAUAUCAAUGAAUAAAAUCAAACCCACCUAUGUUAGUAUUCCUCUAGACCUUAUCACCAUAAAGUUUUAAAAAAUCUUCACAAGCUCAACACAACAUGUAAAAUGAAAAUGACAUUAUCUUAAAUGGUAUUAGAUCAUUGUUUCCCUCCUUUAUCAAGAUUUCCUUUAUGAAGAGUUAUUCUUAAAUAGCACUGACCUUUCUGAAACUUUAUCCAAGUGCUCUCUUAUACUUAAAGAAGUUUUAAUUUAAUGCCUGAACAAUAUAGCACUUUUUUGUGGGUGGGUGUGUAUCUCAGUUAAGUACACCAUACUAUAAAAAUCCAUCUGGCAACUUUCCUUUUGCAUCUAGUUGUGAUUUUUGAGAUGCAUAAUACUGCAUACCGAUAAAUCUAUUGGCACUGACUGGAAGAGAAUAUUCAACAUUCAUGACAGAGGUUUUUUCUGGGGAACUGGAGAGAAGAAUGAGACAACAGGCAUGUGAACUUUGUAAUUUUAUUUACUGUAUUAAAUAUUGAAGUGAGU
This 6564-nucleotide long non-coding RNA is filed under the name Lynx pardinus (Iberian lynx). Lineage: Eukaryota; Metazoa; Chordata; Mammalia; Carnivora; Felidae. The record is from RNAcentral.